RNAcentral lists this ribosomal RNA (408 nucleotides) under uncultured bacterium. RNAcentral describes it as "bacterial SSU rRNA". It matches the Rfam family "Bacterial small subunit ribosomal RNA", at positions 612 to 1020 of the family's 1533-position model. The record is from RNAcentral.
ACCUGGGAAUGGCAUUGGAAACUGGUCGGCUGGAGUGUGGCAGAGGGGGGUGGAAUUCCGCGUGUAGCAGUGAAAUGCGUAGAGAUGCGGAGGAACACCGAUGGCGAAGGCAGCCCCCUGGGCCAACACUGACGCUCAGGCACGAAAGCGUGGGGAGCAAACGGGAUUAGAUACCCUGGUAGUCCACGCCCUAAACGAUGUCAACUGGGUGUUGGGGAAGCGAUUCCUUGGUACCGUAGCUAACGCGUGAAGUUGACCGCCUGGGGAGUACGGCCGCAAGGUUAAAACUCAAAGGAAUUGACGGGGACCCGCACAAGCGGUGGAUGAUGUGGAUUAAUUCGAUGCAACGCGAACAACCUUACCUACCCUUGACAUGUCCGGAACCCUGCUGAGAGGUGGGGGUGCCCG